Talpa occidentalis (Iberian mole) is the source of this 119-nucleotide long non-coding RNA. RefSeq lists it as uncharacterized. The transcript is spliced from 3 exons. The record is from RefSeq and is a predicted model, not a curated record. Lineage: Eukaryota; Metazoa; Chordata; Mammalia; Eulipotyphla; Talpidae.
CAUUAAGUGUCAGAAUACUAGUGUAUAAUUUUCUACAAUUUGGAAUUGAAACUUCUGAUUUCACCAGGUCAUACACAUAUCUGAGCUUGAAAAGACACAUGAAAAAGAUCUGGAAAGGA